AGGUUAAGUUAAUAAGGGCGCACGGUGGAUGCCUAGGCACUAGGAGCCGAUGAAGGACGUGACGAACGACGACAUGCUUUGGGGAGCUGUAAGUAAGCCUUGAUCCAGAGAUAUCCGAAUGGGGGAACCCAACAGGUAAUGCCUGUUAUCCAUAACUGUUAAGGUUAUGAGAAGGAAGACGCAGUGAACUGAAACAUCUCAGUAGCUGCAGGAAGAGAAAGCAAGAGCGAUUGCCUCAGUAGCGGCGAGCGAAGAGGCAGGAGGGCAAACCAGAGUGUUUACACUCUGGGGUUGUAGGACUGCGAUAAAGCAGCCAAGGGAAUAGAAGAAGACUCUGGGAAGAGUCGCCAGAGAGAGUAAGAGCCUCGUAUUUGAAAUUCACUUGAUGCCAAGCAGGAUCCUGAGUACGGCGGGACACGAGGAAUCCCGUCGGAAUCUGGGAGGCCCAUCUCCCAACCCUAAAUACUCCCUAGUGACCGAUAGUGAACCAGUACCGUGAGGGAAAGGUGAAAAGCACCCCGGAAGGGGAGUGAAAGAGAACCUGAAACCGUGUGCUUACAAGAAGUUCGAGCCCGUUAAUGGGUGAGAGCGUGCCUUUUGUAGAAUGAACCGGCGAGUUACGUUUACGUGCGAGGUUAAGUUGAAGAGACGGAGCCGUAGGGAAACCGAGUCUGAAAAGGGCGGUUAAGUACGUAGAUGUAGACCCGAAACCAAGUGACCUACCCAUGAGCAGGUUGAAGGUGCGGUAAAACGCACUGGAGGACCGAACCAGGACACGUUGAAAAGUGUUUGGAUGACUUGUGGGUAGCGGAGAAAUUCCAAACGAACUUGGAGAUAGCUGGUUCUCUCCGAAAUAGCUUUAGGGCUAGCGUCGGUCGCGAGACUCUUGGAGGUAGAGCACUGUUUGAUUGAGGGGUCCAUCCCGGAUUACCAAUCUCAGAUAAACUCCGAAUGCCAACGAGUUAAGACCGGCAGUCAGACUGCGAG
This 987-nucleotide ribosomal RNA is filed under the name Streptococcus mutans SA41. RNAcentral describes it as "bacterial LSU rRNA". It matches the Rfam family "Bacterial large subunit ribosomal RNA", at positions 1 to 995 of the family's 2925-position model. Lineage: Bacteria; Bacillati; Bacillota; Bacilli; Lactobacillales; Streptococcaceae. The record is from RNAcentral.